RNAcentral lists this ribosomal RNA (468 nucleotides) under uncultured bacterium. Its description in RNAcentral is "partial 16S ribosomal RNA". It matches the Rfam family "Bacterial small subunit ribosomal RNA", at positions 28 to 507 of the family's 1533-position model. The record is from RNAcentral.
GACGAACGCUGGCGGCGUGCUUAACACAUGCAAGUCGAACGGAAAGGCCCUGCUUUUGUGGGGUGCUCGAGUGGCGAACGGGUGAGUAACACGUGAGUAACCUGCCCUUGACUUUGGGAUAACUUCAGGAAACUGGGGCUAAUACCGGAUAGGAGCUCCUGCUGCAUGGUGGGGGUUGGAAAGUUUCGGCGGUUGGGGAUGGACUCGCGGCUUAUCAGCUUGUUGGUGGGGUAGUGGCUUACCAAGGCUUUGACGGGUAGCCGGCCUGAGAGGGUGACCGGCCACAUUGGGACUGAGAUACGGCCCAGAAUCCUAAGGGAGGCAGCAGUGGGGAAUAUUGCACAAUGGGCGGAAGCCUGAUGCAGCAACGCCGCGUGCGGGAUGACGGCAUUCGGGUUGUAAACCGCUUUCGCAUGUGACGAAGCGUGAGUGACGGUAAUGGGUAAAGAAGCACCGGCUAACUACGUG